GCAGUUGUACUUCGCGUAUAAAUCUGAAAUGUAAAAGGAUCAAAAUAUAAGCGAUGAUAAUCGAGAAAUGUGAUGUAUCGUUAACGCCAACGUGAAACUUAAAAUCCUAGAAAUUUCUCUAGUCGAUAUCCAAUCGGUACCUCGGCAAUUUUUUUCAAGUUGACGUCAGUAAUAUGAACAAAUAUGUGAAGAUAUUCGCGCUCUAUUCGCAACUUCGAUUUGAAUUGCGAUAAACGAUUAGGACGCAUCCUGUUUUGGAAUAUUAUGGCAAGGAUUUAUAUCAAUAACAGAUUAAAAAAUGCUGCAACAUUCUUUAACAUUACACUUUCUAUUACCAACGAGAUCGUGAUUGUGAUAUCAAGAGUUUCAACAUGUUACUCUUGAGAAAUAUGCAAAAGAUAUGUUUUUACAAUAUAUUAUUACAAAGAUCAUUUGGCACAAAUCAAUCACUCUUUUUCUAUAAGGAGAUUAACAAAGAAUUUCAAAAAUUUAAAUUAAAGCAAGCAAAGAUGCAGGUAUAUGUAAUUUGAAGCAAUUUUAGAAAUUUGAUUUAUAAAAAUUGCAUCUAGAAAAAUUCCAUAUUGAUACACAUCAUUUAUUUCGACAGUGCGACGACGGAAUUCCUGUCUAUUUAAAGAGCGGCAUACGCGAUAAAAUAUUAUUUAACAUUACCUUAGCUUUGCUUUUAUGUAACACGGUUGGAUCGAUCUAUUCAAUCAGAGAGCUUUUCAGAAAAUUUUAAUCUUACAUAUGUACAUAUAUACAUUGUAAUAAUCUCCUUUUUUUAAUGCACAAGUCGCAUAAAAUAA
Molecule: long non-coding RNA, 809 nt
Organism: Camponotus floridanus (Florida carpenter ant)
Lineage: Eukaryota; Metazoa; Arthropoda; Insecta; Hymenoptera; Formicidae
Exons: 4
Source: RefSeq, a predicted model, not a curated record